This 99-nucleotide non-coding RNA is filed under the name human gut metagenome. RNAcentral describes it as "Cyclic di-GMP-I riboswitch". It matches the Rfam family "c-di-GMP-I riboswitch aptamer", at positions 6 to 83 of the family's 87-position model. From Rfam's summary of the family: GEMM was predicted in a large-scale screen for bacterial structured RNA regulatory elements. Genes associated with GEMM are involved in a diverse array of functions, including chemotaxis regulation, signal transduction, secretion and chitin. RNAcentral also lists the same sequence under 1 other name. The record is from RNAcentral.
AUAAGGGCAAACUGUCAGAAAUGACAGGACGCAAAAUUAUGGGCCUAAGACUUCUUGAUUGAACGGCGAUGCAGCGAGAAGUUAUGGUUGCCAGAUUGC